AAUUAGAAAGCGAAUUAUUGCAUUUAGUUUCGACCUAAACCUUAGGUUACCAACCUUCUAAUUU
This 64-nucleotide transfer RNA is filed under the name Grapsus albolineatus. RNAcentral describes it as "tRNA-Arg". Lineage: Eukaryota; Metazoa; Arthropoda; Malacostraca; Decapoda; Grapsidae. The record is from RNAcentral.